GGAAAAAUAAGUAUAUCUUUUGGAAAUAAAUUUAUUUUUUUUUUGUGCGUUACUUAGAGAUUUCAUACCAUUUUUAUGCCACUUUUCUCGCAUCUAGAAUCGUUCAAGCAUUAAGCUUUUAUGGACUACGGAGCAGCUUAUUUCUUUUUAAUAUUACUUAUUUGGUUAUGCCGUCGAAUGUAAACAAGAGCGGCAAAUAUGGCGGCAGCCAUUUCAAAGCCCAGCACUAUCCGCGAUGAAAUAUAUGAAUGGUCGAAGGGUGGAGAUCAAUUCACUGAGACUCUCACCUAAAAAUUCUUAUGGGACGGAGUCGAUACCGAAUCUUUUAGAUAGAAGUAUAAUGCAGUCUUUCUUCUUUUCUUUCUUUUGUAUGGUAAACUUGGUGGCUAAAUUUUGGUUGCCCCUUUCCACUCAAAUGGAGUGCUGGGGGAGCUGUGCUGGGCCGGGGUUAAAUGCAAAAUGUAGAGGGGGCGGGGAACAGUUUAACUUAG
This 491-nucleotide long non-coding RNA is filed under the name Androctonus crassicauda. The record is from RNAcentral. Lineage: Eukaryota; Metazoa; Arthropoda; Arachnida; Scorpiones; Buthidae.